ACCGAGAGAGAGAGAGAGAGAGAGAGAGAGAGAGAGAGGGAGAGAGAGAAAUCUAUUGUUGUGACGUCCCUGGAGACACAGACACUCUAUUUAACAGAGUUUUCAGUGGCUAGUGAUGAAUCUUUAGAAAUAAAGGUCAACUCCCAAUGAUCACACAGCUGCUCUUACUUUUUCUUUUCUUUUCUUUUGUUUUCCUUUCCUUUCCCUUUCCCUUUCUUUGUUUCCCUUCCUUCCUUCCUUUCUCUCUCUCUCUCUUUCUCUUUCUUUCUUUCCUUCUUUCCUUCUCUCUCUCUUUCUUUCUUUCUUUCUUUCCUUCUUUCUUCUUUCUUUCUUUCUUUCUUUCUUUCUUUCUUUCUUUCUUUUCUUUUCUUUUCUUUUCUUUUCUUUUCUUCCUUCUUUCCUUGAAAGGGACUCACUGUCCGCUAGGCUGCAGUGCAGUGGCACAAUCUCAGCUCAUUGCUGCCCCAAUCUUCCGGCUUCAGCUUCCCGAGUAGCUGAGACCACAGGUGCACACCACCAUGCCCAGUUAAUUUUUCAUUUUUUUCUUACAGACAUGGGGUCUCAUUUUGUUGCCAGGCUUGUCUCAAACUCCUUGACUCAAGCAACUCUCCCGCCUUGGCCUCCCAACGUGCUGGGAUGGCAGGCAUGAGCUGCCACGCCGGCCUGCGCUGUCCUCUACAGGCAGAUGCACCUGCGGCCUCACAUUCACACCUUUGAUUCCUGCUCUCUCAACGGCUGAGAGGCAAACACAUAGGAAAUCCCUACAGCGUGUGCACAGGCCAGUCUCACAUGUUCAUUACAUUUUUCCAAGUUCUUUAUGACUGGGAUUUCCUGUCGUAUUUGAGGACCAUCUUGAUUUGCUCUAAUUCUGGGUCUCAUGUUCACGUUUCCCCCCUUUUUUUUCCUUUUGCUUCUGUGACUUCUCUCUAAUCAGGAGAGGGGCCGAGUAUUUUCUGCUGAUGCUUUGGGAAAGCGUCUCCUCGGCACGGGAAAGAGAAGGCGAAGAUGAUACUGUUGGCUGCUUUAGGGUUUCUCACGUGGAGCUAGCAGAUCUUCCUCUUGUUACUAAGAGCUGGAAGCAGGACUGCUAUGGAUAGAAGUCGAGGAGGAAAUCAGCUCAUCUAAGGAAGAGUGUUCUAACAGGAGACGUCCAGACACGGACUGUGUUAGGAGUUUCCAGAGAUGCCCAGGAGGAGUCAUUGCAGAAGAUGGAAAGUCUUUGCUGCGGUAUUGUGGAGAGCAUUUUUCCUCGGGCGUGAUCUGGACUUCCUGACGGCUUCUGGCUUCUGCUGAUUCUCAGCGGCUGGGAAUGUGUGCUGGAAGCAGCCUUUUUGCAUCAGCUAGGUCUUCAGUGUUGAAUUUGCUUGCGUGUCUAUGUGUGUGUUUCUGUUUGCCGAGGUAACUUUGGAGCCUUUUCACUCCCUAGUGUCUUUACCGUAACUCUGUAGUGUGUCCUCCAUCCUGAGGACCCGGCCUGGGAUGCCACCAACUCUGUCCUGGAUGCUCUAAUGCAAACCUAGAGGAACAGGUGUCCAGCUCCAGCCUGAUUUACACACACGACCCAGCGGCCUUUGGGGGACCUUGCAGAAGAAAAGCAAAGAUCCUGACAACUCCGUCUGCGGACCCUUUUCAAAGAACAGCUUUGUCUUCCUGCAUCAUCUGGACCCCGGGACUUUCUCACCAGAGGGAUCUGACAAGGACCUGUUGAAACUUAUUUGAUGAAUAGCAAUGGCUUUGCAUCUGUAUCACUACUGGGCCCCAUACCUGAGUGCAUCUGAAGGGUUCUCUUUGCAACGUGAGCCCUGUGCCUGGCUGUUCUGCUUUCUUUCAGAGACUGGGACCUGCUUAAGGGUGGAGGCCUUUCUGCAGGUUCCCCGACCAGUGCCAUAUACAAAAUGGCACAUCUGUAAAGAGUUGCUAAUGAUGACACCUUUUCCUCAUCUCAUUGAGUUGUAUACGACGCCAAAUGGCUUGAGGAUGGUUUUGUACACCCUUAUGUUCAAGAGCUACAUCAACGUUAGUUGUUUAUUUAAAUUGAAAACUUAAUGUUGGCAGUGGUAGGUGGUAAUGAAGGGGAAUGGGACAGGUAAGCCGCUAGUGUUUAAGUUUCUGAAAUUACGGAGGGCACAGGUAGGAAGCUCCGUGGGGCAAAGUGCAGUAGGGGGUUGGACUGUGUGGUGUUGAUGACGCAGACUCUUCACUGUGUACAAUGCUUGCCUUUCAAACCCUCCAUCUGUCACAGACAUGUGCAAUGUUCCUAGUGAAAAGCUUUCCUUCUCCCAGUGAACAACCUUUCUUCUCCCAGUGAACAACCUUCCUUCUCCCAGGGAACAGCCUUCCUUCUCCCAGGGAACAGCCUUCCUUCUCCCAGUGAACAGCCUUCCUUCUCCCAGGGAACAGCCUUCCUUCUCCCAGAGAAGAGGCUUCCUUCUCCCAGUGAACAGCCUUCCUUCUCCCAGGGAACAGCCUUCCUUCUCCCAGGGAACAGCCUUCCUUCUCCCAGUGAACAGCCUUCCUUCUCCCAGUGAACAGCCUUCCUUCUCCCAGGGAACAGCCUUCCUUCUCCCAGGGAACAGCCUUCCUUCUCCCAGGGAACAGCCUUCCUUCUCCCAGGGAACAGCCUUCCUUCUCCCAGGGAACAGCCUUCCUUCUCCCAGGGAACAGCCUUCCUUCUCCCAGUGAACAGCCUUCCUUCUCCCAGUGAACAGCCUUCCUUCUCCCAGGGAACAGCCUUCCUUCUCCCAGGGAACAGCCUUCCUUCUCCCAGUGAACAGCCUUCCUUCUCCCAGUGAACAGCCUUCCUUCUCCCAGGGAACAGCCUUCCUUCUCCCAGGGAACAGCCUUCCUUCUCCCAGGGAACAGCCUUCCUUCUCCCAGGGAACAGCCUUCCUUCUCCCAGGGAACAGCCUUCCUUCUCCCAGGGAACAGCCUUCCUUCUCCCAGGGAACAGGCUUCCUUCUCCCAGUGAACAGGCUUCCUUCUCCCAGGGAACAGCCUUCCUUCUCCCAGUGAACAGCCUUCCUUCUCCCAGGGAACAGCCUUCCUUCUUCCAGGGAACAGCCUUCCUUCUCCCAGUGAACAGCCUUCCUUCUCCCAGGGAACAGCCUUCCUUCUCCCAGGGAACAGGCUUCCUUCUCCCAGGGAACAGGCUUCCUUCUCCCAGGGAACAGCCUUCCUUCUCCCAGGGAACAGGCUUCCUUCUCCCAGGGAACAGCCUUCCUUCUCCCAGUGAACAACUUUCCUUCUCCCAGGGAACAGCCUUCCUUCUCCCAGGGAACAGGCUUCCUUCUCCCAGUAAACAACCUUCCUUCUCCCAGAGAAGAGGCUUCCUUCUCCCAGUGAACAACCUUCCUUCUCCCAGGAUUUUGCUUUCUGGACCCUUUGCAAGAACAUUCUACAGGGAUUUCCCUGAAUUUGAAAUCUGCACACACCCCUUUAGGGACAGUGCUGGCUGACUUCAUUCCAGGAGGGCUGAGCUCCUCCAUUUUCCAGCAGACAUGGUGCAUCCUGUUGUCACUUUCCAAGAGCCUGCCGUGGGUUUCCCUGUUUCUGCUGGUGGGGAAACAAAUAAAAUACAAUUUGCGCUUGCCUUUCACCCCUCAGGUCCUCAUGAGAGUAUCAGUCAACUGAGUGACACUGUCGCCCACCGGCUGGGAGAAAGGGGGUCUUGAGAGAUUACUGUGAUACUGCAUGCCUGUGCGUUUGUGGGAUCAUUUCCUAUUUGUAUCAGAUGGAAUGCUUGACUGAAAAAAAAGAACAACUGUGGACUGUGUUCCUCCAAGUGUGGUUUCACAUCCCUCUAGUUAAUGCCAUCCAUGAAAACAAUUAACUUCUCUAUAUUUCAGGAUCCAGGCAGGACCUGGUAGGAAUCUUAUUUAAUUAUGUGCUAUAUUAAUGUUAUAUCGAUUAUGUUAUUGCCUGUAAAUCCAGAUACUUAAUAAAGCUGCAGUCAUUUUGCAAUAA
Non-coding RNA from Callithrix jacchus (white-tufted-ear marmoset), 3963 nucleotides. NCBI's taxonomy places the organism in Eukaryota, Metazoa, Chordata, Mammalia, Primates, Cebidae. The record is from RefSeq and is a predicted model, not a curated record.